AUUGUGGAAUUCUGCCCAGGUCAUUAAAUGUGAUCUUUAAGAGUAUAGAAGGCAGAAUUUAUCCUCAAAAUAGCAUUAAGCCUCACAGAUGUGUCGACUUUAUGAAACUCACUGAAGAGCAGCAAGAUGACGAAGCUACAUAUAAGAGAAACCUUCUUCGACGAUUUAAAGAUAUUGACCCCCGGAAAACUCUGUCUAGCAUGUCCAGCUCCAGCUGUUCAUUAUUUGAAAGCUCCACCUUUAGUGACACAAAUAGGGACAGUGUCUGUUUGGAUGACACCUCUCGUGUUAAAUUCUCUGUGUGGGUCUCCUUUUG
This is a long non-coding RNA of Sinocyclocheilus rhinocerous, 316 nucleotides long. RefSeq lists it as uncharacterized. Lineage: Eukaryota; Metazoa; Chordata; Actinopteri; Cypriniformes; Cyprinidae. The record is from RefSeq and is a predicted model, not a curated record. The transcript is spliced from 3 exons.